GUUAGCGGCGGACGGGUGAGUAACACGUGGGUAACCUGCCUGUAAGACUGGGAUAACUCCGGGCAAACCGGAGCUAAUACCGGAUAGUUCCUUGAACCGCAUGGUUCAACGAUGAAAGACGGUUUCGGCUGUCACUUACAGAUGGACCCGCGGCGCAUUAGCUAGUUGGUGGGGUAAUGGCUCACCAAGGCGACGAUGCGUAGCCGACCUGAGAGGGUGAUCGGCCACACUGGGACUGAGACACGGGCCAGACUCCUACGGGAGGCAGCAGUAGGGAAUCUUCCGCAAUGGACGAAAGUCUGACGGAGCAACGCCGCGUGAGUGAUGAAGGUUUUCGGAUCGUAAAGCUCUGUUGUUAGGGAAGAACAAGUGCGAGAGUAACUGCUCGACCUUGA
RNAcentral lists this ribosomal RNA (395 nucleotides) under marine bacterium SIMO-IS212. RNAcentral's name for it is "bacterial SSU rRNA". It matches the Rfam family "Bacterial small subunit ribosomal RNA", at positions 91 to 477 of the family's 1533-position model. The record is from RNAcentral. Lineage: Bacteria; Bacillati; Bacillota.